GGUUAAGCGACUAAGCGUACACGGUGGAUGCCCUGGCAGUCAGAGGCGAUGAAGGACGUGCUAAUCUGCGAUAAGCGUCGGUAAGGUGAUAUGAACCGUUAUAACCGGCGAUUUCCGAAUGGGGAAACCCAGUGUGUUUCGACACACUAUCAUUAACUGAAUCCAUAGGUUAAUGAGGCGAACCGGGGGAACUGAAACAUCUAAGUACCCCGAGGAAAAGAAAUCAACCGAGAUUCCCCCAGUAGCGGCGAGCGAACGGGGAGCAGCCCAGAGCCUGAAUCAGUGUGUGUGUUAGUGGAAGCGUCUGGAAAGGCGCGCGAUACAGGGUGACAGCCCCGUACACAAAAAUGCACAUGCUGUGAGCUCGAUGAGUAGGGCGGGACACGUGGUAUCCUGUCUGAAUAUGGGGGGACCAUCCUCCAAGGCUAAAUACUCCUGACUGACCGAUAGUGAACCAGUACCGUGAGGGAAAGGCGAAAAGAACCCCGGCGAGGGGAGUGAAAAAGAACCUGAAACCGUGUACGUACAAGCAGUGGGAGCACGCUUCGGCGUGUGACUGCGUACCUUUUGUAUAAUGGGUCAGCGACUUAUAUUCUGUAGCAAGGUUAACCGAAUAGGGGAGCCGAAGGGAAACCGAGUCUUAACUGGGCGUUAAGUUGCAGGGUAUAGACCCGAAACCCGGUGAUCUAGCCAUGGGCAGGUUGAAGGUUGGGUAACACUAACUGGAGGACCGAACCGACUAAUGUUGAAAAAUUAGCGGAUGACUUGUGGCUGGGGGUGAAAGGCCAAUCAAACCGGGAGAUAGCUGGUUCUCCCCGAAAGCUAUUUAGGUAGCGCCUCGUGAAUUCAUCUCCGGGGGUAGAGCACUGUUUCGGCAAGGGGGUCAUCCCGACUUACCAACCCGAUGCAAACUGCGAAUACCGGAGAAUGUUAUCACGGGAGACACACGGCGGGUGCUAACGUCCGUCGUGAAGAGGGAAACAACCCAGACCGCCAGCUAAGGUCCCAAAGUCAUGGUUAAGUGGGAAACGAUGUGGGAAGGCCCAGACAGCCAGGAUGUUGGCUUAGAAGCAGCCAUCAUUUAAAGAAAGCGUAAUAGCUCACUGGUCGAGUCGGCCUGCGCGGAAGAUGUAACGGGGCUAAACCAUGCACCGAAGCUGCGGCAGCGACGCUUAUGCGUUGUUGGGUAGGGGAGCGUUCUGUAAGCCUGCGAAGGUGUGCUGUGAGGCAUGCUGGAGGUAUCAGAAGUGCGAAUGCUGACAUAAGUAACGAUAAAGCGGGUGAAAAGCCCGCUCGCCGGAAGACCAAGGGUUCCUGUCCAACGUUAAUCGGGGCAGGGUGAGUCGACCCCUAAGGCGAGGCCGAAAGGCGUAGUCGAUGGGAAACAGGUUAAUAUUCCUGUACUUGGUGUUACUGCGAAGGGGGGACGGAGAAGGCUAUGUUGGCCGGGCGACGGUUGUCCCGGUUUAAGCGUGUAGGCUGGUUUUCCAGGCAAAUCCGGAAAAUCAAGGCUGAGGCGUGAUGACGAGGCACUACGGUGCUGAAGCAACAAAUGCCCUGCUUCCAGGAAAAGCCUCUAAGCAUCAGGUAACAUCAAAUCGUACCCCAAACCGACACAGGUGGUCAGGUAGAGAAUACCAAGGCGCUUGAGAGAACUCGGGUGAAGGAACUAGGCAAAAUGGUGCCGUAACUUCGGGAGAAGGCACGCUGAUAUGUAGGUGAGGUCCCUCGCGGAUGGAGCUGAAAUCAGUCGAAGAUACCAGCUGGCUGCAACUGUUUAUUAAAAACACAGCACUGUGCAAACACGAAAGUGGACGUAUACGGUGUGACGCCUGCCCGGUGCCGGAAGGUUAAUUGAUGGGGUUAGCGCAAGCGAAGCUCUUGAUCGAAGCCCCGGUAAACGGCGGCCGUAACUAUAACGGUCCUAAGGUAGCGAAAUUCCUUGUCGGGUAAGUUCCGACCUGCACGAAUGGCGUAAUGAUGGCCAGGCUGUCUCCACCCGAGACUCAGUGAAAUUGAACUCGCUGUGAAGAUGCAGUGUACCCGCGGCAAGACGGAAAGACCCCGUGAACCUUUACUAUAGCUUGACACUGAACAUUGAGCCUUGAUGUGUAGGAUAGGUGGGAGGCUUUGAAGUGUGGACGCCAGUCUGCAUGGAGCCGACCUUGAAAUACCACCCUUUAAUGUUUGAUGUUCUAACGUUGACCCGUAAUCCGGGUUGCGGACAGUGUCUGGUGGGUAGUUUGACUGGGGCGGUCUCCUCCUAAAGAGUAACGGAGGAGCACGAAGGUUGGCUAAUCCUGGUCGGACAUCAGGAGGUUAGUGCAAUGGCAUAAGCCAGCUUGACUGCGAGCGUGACGGCGCGAGCAGGUGCGAAAGCAGGUCAUAGUGAUCCGGUGGUUCUGAAUGGAAGGGCCAUCGCUCAACGGAUAAAAGGUACUCCGGGGAUAACAGGCUGAUACCGCCCAAGAGUUCAUAUCGACGGCGGUGUUUGGCACCUCGAUGUCGGCUCAUCACAUCCUGGGGCUGAAGUAGGUCCCAAGGGUAUGGCUGUUCGCCAUUUAAAGUGGUACGCGAGCUGGGUUUAGAACGUCGUGAGACAGUUCGGUCCCUAUCUGCCGUGGGCGCUGGAGAACUGAGGGGGGCUGCUCCUAGUACGAGAGGACCGGAGUGGACGCAUCACUGGUGUUCGGGUUGUCAUGCCAAUGGCACUGCCCGGUAGCUAAAUGCGGAAGAGAUAAGUGCUGAAAGCAUCUAAGCACGAAACUUGCCCCGAGAUGAGUUCUCCCUGACCCUUUAAGGGUCCUGAAGGAACGUUGAAGACGACGACGUUGAUAGGCCGGGUGUGUAAGCGCAGCGAUGCGUUGAGCUAACCGGUACUAAUGAACCGUGAGGCUUAACCUU
This 2904-nucleotide ribosomal RNA is filed under the name Escherichia coli. RNAcentral describes it as "23S ribosomal RNA". It matches the Rfam family "Bacterial large subunit ribosomal RNA". Lineage: Bacteria; Pseudomonadati; Pseudomonadota; Gammaproteobacteria; Enterobacterales; Enterobacteriaceae. The record is from RNAcentral.